CGCCUCUUGCAUUCUAUGUAUAAGAGGUCCCGCCUGCCCUGUGACUAUGUGUUUAACGGCCGCGGUAUUUUGACCGUGCAAAGGUAGCGCAAUCACUUGUCUUUUAAAUAAAGACCUGUAUGAAUGGCAUGACGAGGGCUUAACUGUCUCCUUCUCCCGGUCAAUGAAAUUGAUCUCCCCGUGCAGAAGCGGGGAUAUUAUUAUAAGACGAGAAGACCCUGUGGAGCUUUAAAUGAUGAGAGAUUUUAUGCAACAAACCUAAAAAGGUAUAAGCGAAUUUAUACUCCCUCUAAUAUUUUUGGUUGGGGCGACCGCGGAGUAAAAAGAAACCUCCGUGAGGAAUGAGGUAAUUAACCUUAAAUCCCAGAACGACAAUUCAAAGAAGCAAAAUUUUUGACCUAAAGAUCCGGCAAAGCCGAUCAACGAACCUAGUUACCCCAGGGAUAACAGCGCAAUCCCCUUCAAGAGUCCCUAUCGACAAGGGGGUUUACGACCUCGAUGUUGGAUCAGGAUAUCCUAAUGGUGUAGCCGCUAUUAAGGGUUCGUUUGUUCAACGAUUAAAAUCCU
This 567-nucleotide ribosomal RNA is filed under the name Syngnathus leptorhynchus (bay pipefish). Its description in RNAcentral is "partial large subunit ribosomal RNA". It matches the Rfam family "Bacterial large subunit ribosomal RNA", at positions 1817 to 2597 of the family's 2925-position model. Lineage: Eukaryota; Metazoa; Chordata; Actinopteri; Syngnathiformes; Syngnathidae. The record is from RNAcentral.